CCUACGGGAGGCAGCAGUGGGGAAUAUUGGACAAUGGGCGCAAGCCUGAUCCAGCAAUACCGCGUGUGUGAAGAAGGCCUGAGGGUUGUAAAGCACUUUCAAUGGGGAGGAACACCUUAGGGCGAAUACCCUUAAGACUGACAUUACCCAUACAAGAAGCACCGGCUAACUCCGUGCCAGCAGCCGCGGUAAUACGGAGGGUGCAAGCGUUAAUCGGAAUUACUGGGCGUAAAGCGUGCGUAGGCGGCCUGUUAAGUCAGAUGUGAAAGCCCUGGGCUCAACCUGGGAACUGCAUUUGAAACUGGCGGGCUAGAGUUAGGUAGAGGGGAGUGGAAUUUCAGGUGUAGCGGUGAAAUGCGUAGAUAUCUGAAGGAACACCAGUGGCGAAGGCGGCUCCCUGGACCCAAACUGACGCUGAGGUACGAAAGCGUGGGUAGCAAACAGGAUUAGAUACCCUGGUAGUCCACGACCGUAACGAUGUCGACUACGCCGUUCGGGUCCGUUUUACGGGUUUUAGGUUGGUCGGCGNGCUACGCAUUAAGUACGUACCGCCGUCGGGAGGUACGGCCGGCCGAACGGUUAAACGUUAAAACGGUAAAGUUAGUACGGUUCGUUGUAGACGUUGCCGACGGCGACGACGAGGGAGGAGG
This 650-nucleotide ribosomal RNA is filed under the name uncultured bacterium. Its description in RNAcentral is "bacterial SSU rRNA". The stretch from base 1 to 553 matches the Rfam family "Bacterial small subunit ribosomal RNA", at positions 338 to 873 of the family's 1533-position model. The record is from RNAcentral.